AUCAAACCCAGUGCCUCACAGGUGCUAGGCAAGCACUCUGCCACUGAGCUACAGCCCCAGCCCCUGAGAGCCACUUUUUGAGUCAUCUAAUAUAUUUUCUCAAAACACAUCACCUUCGCUGCCUUUUAAGUGGUUUGAGCGCACUUUGAAAAAUCAAUUUUAUUGAGGAAUACAUGCAAAAUGCACCUAUUUUAAAUGUAAAGUUUAAUAAAGUUUGACAAAUAUAUUUCCUUUGUGAACUCCACCCAAUCCAGAUGCAGAACUUUCCCUUACCCCAGAUUUCCUCUUGCCCUUUGCAGCAUCCCCCCUUCGCCCCCCCACUCUCAUCAGGCAACCACUGGUUUACUUCCUGUCACUGCAGGUGAGUCUUGCCUAUUCAUAAACAGAAUCGUAGAGUGAUUCAUCCAUGUUGUUGCAGACAGGUGCUGUGAUGCUGUCACUGGAAAUUUUAAGUAUUGUUACCUUCUGGUAUACUGCUAAAACAGAUUUUUCCCCCUCCAUUUCUCCUGUAGCUAUAAGUGAUUUUCAUAAUAAUCACUGUAUCAUUUUAAACAUUUUAUGUAGAAUCUUAAAUGUGCAUAGACAGGGAAGUACGUAUGGUGUGCUUCCAUGGUCAUCCAGCUUUGGCGGUGGUUAUUGUUUUCUGUGGUGCUGGGGAUGGAACCCAGGGCCUCACAUAUGCUGGACAAGGGCUGUACCACUAAAUUAUACCUCCAGCCCCAGGGAACUAGGCACACUUGUUUCAUGCCAAACUUUACCCACUAAACCCCUCCCAUGUUAUUUUGACACAACCCUCAACUCUUUGUUAUCCAUAAAUAUUUGUAUUUAUAAAAUAUUGUUUUUAAAAAAUAUAUACAUAAGUACAAGAUAAUUACCAAGCCUAAAAAAUUUUUAAAAAGUCAAUUGCUAUUUAGUGACUUUCAAAAGUCUUGUUUACAUGGAAUACUUGGGAUUGGUGAGGAAUGAUUACCAAAUCUAUGUAAACUUCUUCGCCUCCUUGUUUACUCGUUUUGUCAGGGGUCUACUUAUAAGCAUCUAAAACUAGCUUGACUGAGAUCAUUUCAGGGUAGUGUUUCUUCCAAAAAAGUGCUUUUCAGUUCAAGUUAAAAAGUGUCUCAUUAUAUGAGGGAAUUCUAAGGACUGAAAUAUGUCAACUUGUUGUUUUCCCAGAAGACAAUACUCCCUCGUCCCUAUGGUGGAAAUGCCCAUAUUCAGUGUUUAUGCCAUUUAGAAAGUCAUUUUCUCAAUUACUGGAUGUGGGAUUGAGACAAAGAAGUGAAGAAUGGGGCUGCCUGGUUUCCAGGUUGGGGGUCUAGUAGAGGUAGUGCCUUUCGCUGAGGUAGGAAAGCCAGGCCUGACAGUAGUUCCAGAGUUGAUGUUCAGGUGCCCCUGGAUAUCCCCUGCAGAGGUUCAAUGUCUGGAGUUCAGGAGAAAGGCUGGAGGUAAUCAGGAG
This 1453-nucleotide long non-coding RNA is filed under the name Marmota monax (woodchuck). Lineage: Eukaryota; Metazoa; Chordata; Mammalia; Rodentia; Sciuridae. The record is from RNAcentral.